UACGUAGGGGGCAAGCGUUGUCCGGAAUCAUUGGGCGUAAAGCGCGUGUAGGCGGCUCGAUAAGUCUGCUGUGAAAGUCCAGGGCUCAACCCUGGGAUGCCGGUGGAUACUGUCGAGCUCGAGUCCGGAAGAGGUGUGUGGAAUUCCUGGUGUAGCGGUGAAAUGCGCAGAUAUCAGGAGGAACACCAAUGGCGAAGGCAGCUCGCUGGGACGGUACUGACGCUGAGACGCGAAAGCGUGGGGAGCAAACAGG
RNAcentral lists this ribosomal RNA (253 nucleotides) under uncultured bacterium. RNAcentral's name for it is "partial 16S ribosomal RNA". It matches the Rfam family "Bacterial small subunit ribosomal RNA", at positions 524 to 776 of the family's 1533-position model. The record is from RNAcentral.